AUCCCGGCCUCAGCUGAACCACCGCCCGAGGUGUCGUACCAAGUGACCCGGCAGGGCUGCUGGGUCCCAGGCUGUCGGGAGGAAGUGGCCGAAGGCGAAUGUGCUAAGCCAGAUUGUUGAGCAGAUAAGCUCAGGGUGGUGUUGGGGAGGCCCCUGGGAUCGGUCCCCGGGGCCCGUUGGGUGCUUCCAGAAGCAUCCGCGGUAACCUAGGAGGCGAAUGGGUGAGGGGUUCUGAGAAAACUGUGAGCAAAGGCUCAGGCAGCAGGGUGGCUGGCUGGUUGAGAUUGCUGAGACCAGCCGGGUUAGACAUAGGUGUGCUGAGAAAGGUGGAUAGCUGCCCUUCCAGUGCUUAGGUGAAAUUUAAGUAUUUAGGAACUUAAGAUAUAAAAAACACAGGGUUUGCCUGGGAGUAGUGGCACAUGAGUUCACUAGUCUAUGUAGUUCCAGGACAGCCUAGGCGAUAUAAUAGACCCUGUCUCAAAAGGCGGGGGUGGGGGUGGGGGAGCUUGUUGGUCUACCCCUUGUGAUCCCUAUCUUGGAGACCAGAAGGAUUAGAAGAUACAGUUAAUCCUUGGCUGCAUAGCUUUGAGGAAGUCCCUGCCUGAAAGUGCGAUAAGGUAUUUGCAAAUUCAUCUUCCUGAAUGAGAAUUUCUUGAAGUUGGUCAUGCGUACAAACCAGGUGUGGUAGUGAAUGCUUGUCAUCACAGCAUUCCGCAGGCUGAGACAGGAGAAUCUUGAGGCUUCAGAAAUUCACCAGCAUUGCUAGGAAACCAUCUCCCCAGCCCCCAGCCUGGCAUCUCCCCAACCUCUGAAGAAGGGAAGAGUUCAGCUCUCUAGAGUUACAGCCUAAAGAACUUGAUUCCUCCAAGGCUGAUGAGCUCUGGUGACCAGUGCUGGCCAGACUAUGGUUGACUAAACAGAUGAUAAUAAUUAAGAACUCAGAGAUAGCAGACAAUGGUGGCACACACCUUUAAUCACAGCAGAGGAAGAUGUAUCUUUAAAUUCAAGGCCAGCCUGGUCUACAGAGUGAGUUCCAGGACUGCCAGGGCUACAUAGAGAAACCCUGUCUCUGGGGAUAGGUGGGAACCCUUAAAAGACUUUGCUGGGCUGGACCCAAGAUUCAGCCCAUCUGGUAUUUUCUGGCUGUGUGAGUAAAACUUCUGGGUUUGACUGGU
This 1175-nucleotide long non-coding RNA is filed under the name Mus pahari (shrew mouse). RNAcentral's name for it is "lncRNA (MGP_PahariEiJ_G0004282.1)". The record is from RNAcentral. Lineage: Eukaryota; Metazoa; Chordata; Mammalia; Rodentia; Muridae.